Molecule: ribosomal RNA, 253 nt
Filed under: uncultured bacterium
Lineage: Bacteria
Description: partial 16S ribosomal RNA
Rfam family: Bacterial small subunit ribosomal RNA
Source: RNAcentral
UACGUAGGGCGCGAGCGUUGUCCGGAAUUAUUGGGCGUAAAGGGCUCGUAGGCGGCUUGCCACGUCUGACGUGAAAUCCCUCAGCUUAACUGGGGAACUGCGUCUGAUACUGGAUGGCUUGGAUUUGGGAGAGGGAUGCGGAAUUCCAGGUGUAGCGGUGAAAUGCGUAGAUAUCUGGAGGAACACCGGUGGCGAAGGCGGCAUCCUGGACCAAUAUUGACGCUGAGGAGCGAAAGCUAGGGGAGCAAACGGG